RNAcentral lists this ribosomal RNA (1071 nucleotides) under Triticum aestivum (bread wheat). Its description in RNAcentral is "partial small subunit ribosomal RNA". The record is from RNAcentral. Lineage: Eukaryota; Viridiplantae; Streptophyta; Magnoliopsida; Poales; Poaceae.
AUGGCUGACAUCAUGAGGAGGUUAGAUCUGUGUCCCUUGAGAGAAGGAACCGUUCUCCGAUCACCUAUCCAUGGAUUCUCCAUCAACGACGCUGAUAUCUCUAGCGGUGCUGAUGACACAUCGAUUUUCAAAUUCAAUGAAUGCUUGCUGGUUGCUACAAGCUUGAUAGCUGAGACAUCCUGUGACAUCAAUGAAGACUUCAAUGAAGCAUUGUACCUGAGCUGUCGACAGAAGAUUGGUUCAACUGAGAUGAUAUUUGCUCUAUUGACUACGAAAAAGAACUUAUCUGAAGAAACUCAAGGGUGGAAAGAAAAGAUCCGUCAGCCCCUCCUGGACCUCCAGAAGCAAAUUUAUGCACGCGUUCGGGCCUUGAGAGCUGAAGUUGCCGAGAUUGCAGGGAUAUCAUCCGCCGCAGCUCCAACAGACACUGAAAACAAGAUCAAGCUUAAGAUUUGCUCAAUCAGAGCUCUUCGACUGGGAGGUGAAAUGGCUGACAUCAUGAGGAGGUUAGAUCUGUGUCCCCUGAGAGAAGGAACCGUUCUCCGAUCACCUAUCCAUGGAUUCUCCAUCGACGACGCUGAUAUCUCUAGCGGUGCUGAUGACACAUCGAUUUUCAAAUUCAAUGAAUGCUUGCUGGUUGCUACAAGCUUGAUAGCUGAGACAUCCUGUGACAUCAAUGAAGACUUCAAUGAAGCAUUGUACCUGAGCUGUCGACAGAAGAUUGGUUCAACUGAAAUGAUAUUUGCUCUGUUGACUACGAAAAAGAACUUAUCUGAAGAAACUCAAGGGUGGAAAGAAAAGAUCCGUCAGCCCCUCCUGGACCUCCAGAAGCAAAUUUAUGCACGCGUUCGGGCCUUGAGAGCUGAAGUUGCUGAGAUUGCACGGAUAUCAUCCGCCGCAGCUCCAACAGACACUGAAAACAAGAUCAAGCUUAAGAUUUGCUCAAUCAGAUCUCUUCUUCGACUGGGAGGUGAAAUGGCUGACAUCAUGAGGAGGUUAGAUCUGUGUCCCCUGAGAGAAGGAACCGUUCUCCGAUCACCUAUCCAUGGAUUCUCCAUUGAUGAUGUUUGA